CCUACGGGUGGCUGCAGUGAGGAAUAUUGGUCAAUGGGCGGAAGCCUGAACCAGCCAAGUAGCGUGCAGGAUGACGGCCCUACGGGUUGUAAACUGCUUUUAUACGGGAAUAACGCGCCUUACGUGUAGGGCUUUGCAUGUACCGUAUGAAUAAGGACCGGCUAAUUCCGUGCCAGCAGCCGCGGUAAUACGGAAGGUCCGGGCGUUAUCCGGAUUUCUUGGGUUUAAAGGGUGCGUAGGCCGCCCGUCAAGCGUGCUGUUGAAUGUGCGGGCUCAACCCGGGCCUUGCAGCGCGAACUGGCGUGCUUGAGUCCGCGGAAAGCAGGCGGAAUUCGUCGUGUAGCGGUGAAAUGCUUAGAUAUGGCGAAGAACCCCGAUUGCGAAGGCAGCUUGCUGCGGCGGAACUGACGCUGAGGCUCGAAAGCGCGGGUAUCGAACAGGAUUAGAUACCCGAGUAGUC
RNAcentral lists this ribosomal RNA (460 nucleotides) under uncultured bacterium. RNAcentral describes it as "partial 16S ribosomal RNA". It matches the Rfam family "Bacterial small subunit ribosomal RNA", at positions 338 to 795 of the family's 1533-position model. The record is from RNAcentral.